This 253-nucleotide ribosomal RNA is filed under the name uncultured bacterium. RNAcentral describes it as "partial 16S ribosomal RNA". It matches the Rfam family "Bacterial small subunit ribosomal RNA", at positions 524 to 776 of the family's 1533-position model. The record is from RNAcentral.
GACAGAGGUGCCGAGCGUUAGGCGGAAUCACUGGGCUUAAAGCGUGUGUAGGCGGAUCGUUAAGUACCUUGUGAAAUCCCACGGCUUAACCGUGGAACUGCUUGGUAUACUGGCGAUCUUGAGCCACCUAGGGGCAACCGGAACAAACGGUGGAGCGGUGAAAUGCGUAGAUAUCGUUUGGAACGCCAAUGGUGAAAACAGGUUGCUGGGAGUGUGCUGACGCUGAGACACGAAAGCCAGGGGAGCGAACGGG